UGGCUCUCGCAUCGAUGAAGAACGCAGCGAAAUGCGAUAAGUAAUGUGAAUUGCAGAAUUCAGUGAAUCAUCGAAUCUUUGAACGCACCUUGCGCUCCUUGGUAUUCCGAGGAGCAUGCCUGUUUGAGUGUCAUGGUAUUCUCAAUUCCCUUGGAUUUUUCUAAGGUGAUAUUGGAUUUGGAGGUUGCUUGCUGGACUCUGUUUGGAAACCAGCUCCUCUUAAAUACAUUAGUGUGAACAUUCACUUCAUACUCGGUGUGAUAAAUAUCUACGCUGUGUUUGUGUGAUAAAGCUUCAUGCUUCAAAUUGUCGCAAGACACUAUCUUGACUUCUGACCUCAAAUCAGGUAGGACUACCCGCUGA
Molecule: unclassified non-coding RNA, 363 nt
Filed under: uncultured fungus
Lineage: Eukaryota; Fungi
Description: partial contains 5.8S ribosomal RNA and internal transcribed spacer 2
Rfam family: 5.8S ribosomal RNA (bases 1-133)
Source: RNAcentral